ACGAGCGACAUUGCUAAACUUGAGAGGAUUGCAGAAUCAUUGAAGGUCCAAUCAAGAAGCUUAGAAUUAUUUUCCAUUUCUACAUAUCUCUUUCAAAAUGAAUCAAACAAGGGCUGCAGAUACAUGAAGCCCAAAAAUUGCUGAAGCUUUCAAGAAACAAUUGUAGGGUUAAUAAAGAUUCACAAAGUCAGCAACUAUUAAAGUCACAGAGCCA
This 214-nucleotide long non-coding RNA is filed under the name Trifolium pratense (red clover). RNAcentral describes it as "long non-coding RNA (TPRA_LNC008317)". Lineage: Eukaryota; Viridiplantae; Streptophyta; Magnoliopsida; Fabales; Fabaceae. The record is from RNAcentral.